RNAcentral lists this ribosomal RNA (403 nucleotides) under bacterium. Its description in RNAcentral is "partial 16S ribosomal RNA". It matches the Rfam family "Bacterial small subunit ribosomal RNA", at positions 355 to 776 of the family's 1533-position model. The record is from RNAcentral.
UGGGGAAUAUUGCACAAUGGAGGGAACUCUGAUGCAGCGACGCCGCGUGAACGAAGAAGGCUUUCGAGUCGUAAAGUUCUUUUAUAUGGGAAGAUAAUGACGGUACCAUAAGAAAAAGCCCCGGCUAACUACGUGCCAGCAGCCGCGGUAAUACGUAGGGGGCUAGCGUUGUCCGGAAUCACUGGGCGUAAAGGGUUAGCAGGCGGAAAUGCAAGUCAGGUGUAAAAGGCAGUAGCUUAACUACUGUAAGCAUUUGAAACUGUAUAUCUUGAGAAGAGUAGAGGUAAGUGGAAUUUUUAGUGUAGCGGUGAAAUGCGUAGAUAUUAAAAAGAAUACCGGUGGCGAAGGCGACUUACUGGGCUCAUUCUGACGCUGAGGAACGAAAGCGUGGGUAGCAAACAGG